AGAUAAUACCUGAUAGAGGAUAAAUACUGGAAGGUUUUAUUCUUCAAAGCUUCGGCACCUGAGGAUGGGACUGCGUCGGAUUAGCUUGUUGUCGGGAUAAUUACCCGACAAGGCGAUAAUCCGUACGGGUUGUGAGAGCAAUAGCCCGGAGAUGGAUUCUGAGACAUGAAUCCAGGUCCUACGGGACGCAGCAGGCGCGAAACCUUCACAAUGCCUGAAAGGGUGAUGAGGGAACUCUGAGUGACUUCGCAAUGCGAAGUCUUUUGCCAAGUGCAAAAAGCUCGGUGAAUAAGUGGUGGGCAAGACAGUUGCCAGCCGCCGCGGUAAUAACUGCGCCACGAGUGGUGAUCUCGUUUAUUGGGCUUAAAGCGUUCGUAGCCGGUUUUAUAAGCAUCUGGUGAAAUCCGAUAGUAAACUAUUGGGCUGGCUAGGUGUACUGUAAGACUAGGGACCGGUAGGGGCCGGGAGUACUCCUAGGGUAGGGGUUAAAUCCUUUAAUCCUAGGGGGACUACCAGUGGCGAAGGCGCCCGGCUAGAACGGGUCCGACGGUGAGGGACGAAAGCUGGGGGAGCGAUCCGGAUUAGAUACCCGGGUAGUCCCAGCUGUAAACGAUGCCCGCUUGGUGUGGUGAAACUUUCGUGGUUUUGCCGUACCGUAGCGAAAGUGUUA
This 670-nucleotide ribosomal RNA is filed under the name uncultured archaeon. Its description in RNAcentral is "bacterial SSU rRNA". It matches the Rfam family "Archaeal small subunit ribosomal RNA", at positions 144 to 817 of the family's 1478-position model. The record is from RNAcentral.